Molecule: long non-coding RNA, 507 nt
Organism: Brassica rapa (field mustard)
Lineage: Eukaryota; Viridiplantae; Streptophyta; Magnoliopsida; Brassicales; Brassicaceae
Source: RefSeq, a predicted model, not a curated record
AGUUUCAAAAAAAAAAAAAACUCACUUUGUCAGUUCCAUAGAUGUAAUCGCAGUAAGUGAAAACUGAAGCAAAGUUGCUUUGGCUUUGUCCUCCAACGUAAUGAUGGUAAUCAUGAUACUCAGCUCCACCAUAGAAUGGAAUGAAUUUCGUCAGUGUCCAUGGAAAAUCAUAUCUGUAAAACAAAACAAAAAACAAAGAGAACAGCUUAUCAUUUGAAAGAUGUUUGCAUGCUCAACCAAUAGAAAAUGCUCACCAAAAAGGCUAAUAUCUAAAACAAUCCUCAAAAUCUAAAAGGGACUAGAAAGUAUCAGAAAAAGGCUAGUGCUUUACCUCAUCCCCACAAAAAAGAAAGGUAAACCACUAUUGAAAGAGUCCCACAUAGCCCAUUAUAAAGUAGAACUUUCAUAGAUAUACUAACAAAAGAAAGCUGAAACCUUUGGUAAAAGAAAAAAAAAACAAUUCAAAAUUUGUUACGAUGCAAUCCAAAGUAAAAACAAUGGAUCUAC